Molecule: ribosomal RNA, 253 nt
Filed under: uncultured bacterium
Lineage: Bacteria
Description: partial 16S ribosomal RNA
Rfam family: Bacterial small subunit ribosomal RNA
Source: RNAcentral
UACGUAGGUGGCAAGCGUUGUCCGGAUUUACUGGGCGUAAAGAGCGCGCAGGCGGCUGGGCAAGUCCGAUGUGAAAGCUUCCGGCUUAACUGGAAAAUUGCAUCGGAAACUGCUCGGCUUGAAGGUGGGAGAGGGUAGCGGAAUUCCCGGUGUAGUGGUGGAAUGCGUAGAUAUCGGGAGGAACACCAGUGGCGAAGGCGGUUGCCUGGAGCUUUGCUGACGCUGAUGCGCGAAAGCGUGGGGAGCGAUCCGG